AGAGCCAGGCAAGAGGGUUGCCUGUAAGGGAGGAAAGUCCGGACACCAAGUGCCAGAAUGCUGGGUAAUACCCAGGAGUCGUAAGGCUACGGAAAGUGCAACAGAAAAUACACGGCCGAAAGGCAAAGGUGAAAAGGUGGGGUAAGAGCCCACCAGCAGGAAAGUGAUUUCCUGGCUUGGCAAACUCCAUUUGGUGCAAGUCCAAAAAGGGGAGGUUGGCACGCUAUUCCCGAGGUAGGACGCAUGAGAUGGUUAGUAAUAGCUAUCCUAGAGUAAUGACCCUCAAAACAGAAUCCGGCUUAUUGCCUGGCUCUCUAU
Molecule: RNase P RNA, 318 nt
Filed under: bacterium
Lineage: Bacteria
Description: RNase P RNA component class A
Rfam family: Bacterial RNase P class A
About the family: Ribonuclease P (RNase P) is a ubiquitous endoribonuclease, found in archaea, bacteria and eukarya as well as chloroplasts and mitochondria.
Source: RNAcentral